Molecule: ribosomal RNA, 493 nt
Filed under: uncultured bacterium
Lineage: Bacteria
Description: partial 16S ribosomal RNA
Rfam family: Bacterial small subunit ribosomal RNA
Source: RNAcentral
GACGAACGCUGGCGGCGUGCUUUAGGCAUGCAAGUCGAACGCGAAAGCCCCUUCGGGGGUGAGUAGAGUGGCGAACGGGUGAGUAACACGUGGGUAACCUGCCCCUCGCAGGGGGAUAACCGGGGGAAACCCCGGCUAAUACCCCGUACGCUUGCUGGGGCGCAUGCUCCGGCAAGGAAAGGUAGCUUCGGCCAUCCGGCGAGGGAGGGGCCCGCGGCCCAUUAGCUAGUUGGUGGGGUAACGGCCCACCAAGGCGACGAUGGGUAGCUGGCCUGAGAGGGUGGUCAGCCACACUGGACUGAGACACGGCCCAGACUCCUACGGGAGGCAGCAGCCAGGAAUCUUGCGCAAUGGGCGAAAGCCUGACGCAGCAACGCCGCGUGGGCGAUGAAGGCCUUCGGGUCGUAAAGCCCUGUUGUCGGGGACGAAGGGCGAAGGGUUAAUAGCCCCUAGCCUGACGGUACCCGACGAGGAAGCCCCGGCUAACUACGUG